GAUGAACGCUGGCGGCGUGCCUAAUACAUGCAAGUCGAGCGAACGGACGAGAAGCUUGCUUCUCUGAUGUUAGCGGCGGACGGGUGAGUAACACGUGGAUAACCUACCUAUAAGACUGGGAUAACUUCGGGAAACCGGAGCUAAUACCGGAUAAUAUUUUGAACCGCAUGGUUCAAAAGUGAAAGACGGUCUUGCUGUCACUUAUAGAUUGAUCCGCGCUGCAUUAGCUAGUUGGUAAGGUAACGGCUUACCAAGGCAACGAUGCAUAGCCGACCUGAGAGGGGGGUCGGCCACACAGGAACUGAGACAAGGUCCAGAAUCCUAAGGGAGGCAGCAGUAGGGAAUCUUACGCAAUGGGCGAAAGCCUGACGGAGCAAAGCCGCGUGAGUGAUGAAGGUCUUCGGAUCGUAAAACUCUGUUAUUAGGGAAGAACAAAUGUGGAAGGAACUGAGCACAGCUUGACGGUACCUAAUCAAAAAGCCACGGCUAACUACGUG
RNAcentral lists this ribosomal RNA (497 nucleotides) under uncultured bacterium. RNAcentral's name for it is "partial 16S ribosomal RNA". It matches the Rfam family "Bacterial small subunit ribosomal RNA", at positions 28 to 507 of the family's 1533-position model. The record is from RNAcentral.